AGUGUAUGCCUUUUGAUGCAUGCUAGAAGCAUAUUUAGUCUUUUAUUGUAGAUGCAGUCAUCUCCAGAGGAUAGAUUUCAAGACAUUUAAAAUAUCCAAAGCUGUACAGUCAUUUCUUUAGCUUUAUUAAAUGUAUUGGACCUUGUUGGAUGUCACUUUGACGAGAGUUACCUAGAUGAAGAAUAAAUAAAUUGUUUGGAUUCUGGCUCUCAAUUUUGAGGAGCUUUAUUUUACCUAGAUGAACUGCUGUUCUGGUCGAUUGCAGCACCAGUUACUGGAAGCGUGUGGAUUCUGGAUCUCAAUUUUUUUUUUAGUUUAUUGACUGUUGAGCUCUUGGUUUAGAGCUUCAAGCUAUGACAGAAAAGAUCUCUUUUUAUUUUUAUUUUUAAUAUGUAAGACUGCAAGAUAUUACUUUUUUCAAAGUUUGGCUAAUCUUCAAGAUAAUUCAAUGAUAGUGCUGAAUGCAUCGGAUUCUACAUGCAUUGGGUGCUUUGUAUGUUUGACGGUAGCUAGCAUUUGUCAGAUUGUGACGGCUUGUAAAGCGUUUGUAUUAUAAGAAUGUUGAGGAAGUUGGCAAUAUUAUGAGAGUAUUUUGUUGACUUAUGUGCUGCAAGGAAUUAUCUUCUACAAAAGGGAAGAAAUCUUAAUAUGGUUCUUUCUAGUGAUGCCUUAUCUGAUCUUUUCAGGUUAUUGCAAACAGAGCAGCUGAAAUUCUUGGCCAUAAGCGGGGCGAAAAGCAUGUGCACCCAAACGACCAUGUGAACAGAUCACAAUCUUCAAAUGACACAUUUCCUACUGUGAUGCAUAUUGCUGCUGCUAUGGAGAUAAAUAAAAGAUUAGUACCAAACUUAAAACAAUUGCAUACUUCACUACACUGUUGUUACUCAGAACCAUUUUACAAAAGCUGUUUUUCAGAAUAACCAAAACCAAUUCAAAUGCCAAAAGAGUUUGUAAGAUGAAAGUCUCUCCUCUCAUUCUCAUGUAUCCUUCAUCACUUGUUCUUUGUAAAAAUUUUACUUUCUACUACCAUAUGUGGCUACAGUAACAUGUAUAAACCACCUGAAAAAUGCUGCUUGAUAUUUUGGAAAAUCUUCCAAGAGACCACGAGGAUGUAGUUAUCUCCCUUUGCAAAUGUUAGGCAAAUAAAAGUUUUGUGAUACAUGGAGAAUUUCCUAUGGUUUAUAUUAUGUGCUUGCCUUUUUUUUUUUCUUCUUAAUCUAACAAACAAUGAUGUGUCUGUGUUGUAACAAACAAGGAUAUGGAAAUAUAGUGGUUGUUCUCCAACAUGUAUACUAACGUUCCAACUCAACUUUAAAAUGAAAGGUGUUUGUAUGGUGAGUGACUCAGUCUGAUAAUUUCAUAACAAAUAGCGGCUCUUCCCCAUAGCAGAAAAUGAUUAAGGCAGAAGCUGUUCUUACUGAUUGCAUCUUCACUUGAGCAGCUUGCACAAGGAGGCACAGCAGUUGGAACAGGAUUGAACACAAAAAAGGGGAAAGGUAUCAAGAAAUAUUACGGGAAAAAUCACAGUCUCAGUCUGAUAUUGAUCAAUGUGAAGCAUAUUACGAAGAUGCUGGGGGAACAAAGAAGAAAAGAAUAUAUGGUCUUGGAUAUCAAGCACAAAGUUAUCUGCUUUUUGUUGGAAAGAACAAAAUUAUGCACUAACAAUACUUGAUGGAUGUGUGGGUUCUUUUGGUAGUUGAUAGCUUGGUGUUGUCGGUGUUUUGGACUUAACGAUUAGGAUUUCGCUAUCUAUUUUGAAUCUUUUUUAUAAAUAUUAUUUUAUGUGAAUGUCAGUUAUUUUUAAGGGUAUUUAUUACUUUGUAUUUA
Molecule: long non-coding RNA, 1827 nt
Organism: Lycium barbarum (goji berry)
Lineage: Eukaryota; Viridiplantae; Streptophyta; Magnoliopsida; Solanales; Solanaceae
Exons: 3
Source: RefSeq, a predicted model, not a curated record